This 371-nucleotide ribosomal RNA is filed under the name uncultured organism. Its description in RNAcentral is "bacterial SSU rRNA". It matches the Rfam family "Bacterial small subunit ribosomal RNA", at positions 45 to 433 of the family's 1533-position model. The record is from RNAcentral.
UGCCUAAUGCAUGCAAGUAGAACGAGAAGUAGCAAUACUUCGAGUUGCGAACGGCUGAGUAUAAGAUAGGAAUCUCCCAUUUGGUGUGGAAUACCUCGUCGAAAGACGAGCUAAUACCGCAUGAGACCGCAAGGUGAAAGCGCUUAACCGCGCGCCGAUUGAUGAGCCUAUCUCCCAUCAGCUAGUUGGUAAGGUAAUGGCUUACCAAGGCUAUGACGGGUAGGGGGCGUGAGAGCGCGUCCCCCCAGAAUGGGACUGAGACACGGCCCAUACACCUACGGGUGGCAGCAACAGGGAAUAGUGCGCAAUGGACGAAAGUCUGACGCCGCAAUGCCGUCGUUUAGGAUGAAGGCCUUCGGGUCGUAAACUCC